GUUCUUCUCCGGCUGAACAGCGGCGAGCCCGCGGAUCUGGCGUCCCGGGAGUGGAAGGGGAUCUAGCGUCUGGGAGUGGAAGAAACGAGGAGCAUCCACCCGAUGGGGGAGGAGGUGGCGCCCAGGGAGAGGGGUGGCGGCAGCCCCUCUGCCUACCACCGAGCUCUGGGAGAAACAUGGAGGCGGCAGGGAGCAUGGGAGCGAUAGCGGUGACUGGAUGCCAGGAGCUUGACGAGGUCCAUGCCGGCAGCACCCUCGCCCUCAACCUUACUGGCGGCGUGGCUGUACAAACGACGCCGGUCGACGGUGGUAUGGCACCGCAUCCCUCCCCUUCCCCCUCUCCCCUCCUCUUCAAAAUAUUAGUUGGACCAAUUCCCGAUAGCCGUCUUCUUUACCCUGUUUCAAAAUCAAGAAAUCCUGGUUCCUAAUAUGUGAUGUUUUCUUUCUAAGGGGCUGGAGAAUCAGGAAAGUCCAUGAUAUCUAUGCAG
Molecule: long non-coding RNA, 488 nt
Filed under: Triticum aestivum (bread wheat)
Lineage: Eukaryota; Viridiplantae; Streptophyta; Magnoliopsida; Poales; Poaceae
Description: long non-coding RNA (TAES_LNC016690)
Source: RNAcentral